This 439-nucleotide ribosomal RNA is filed under the name uncultured bacterium. RNAcentral describes it as "partial 16S ribosomal RNA". It matches the Rfam family "Bacterial small subunit ribosomal RNA", at positions 338 to 794 of the family's 1533-position model. The record is from RNAcentral.
CCUACGGGAGGCAGCAGUGGGGGAUAUUGCACAAUGGGGGGAACCCUGAUGCAGCGACGCCGCGUGGGUGAAGAAGCGCCUCGGCGCGUAAAGCCCUGUCAGCAGGGAAGAAAAUGACGGUACCUGAAGAAGAAGCCCCGGCAAACUACGUGCCAGCAGCCGCGGUAAUACGGAGGGGGCAAGCGUUAUCCGGAUUUACUGGGUGUAAGGGGGGCGCAGACGGCGAUGCAAGCCAGGAGUGAAAGCCCGGGGCCCAACCCCGGGACUGCUCUUGGAACUGCGUGGCUGGAGUGCAGGAGGGGCAGGCGGAAUUCCUGGUGUAGCGGUGAAAUGCGUAGAUAUCAGGAGGAACACCGGUGGCGAAGGCGGCCUGCUGGACUGCAACUGACGUUGAGGCCCGAAAGCGUGGGGAGCAAACAGGAUUAGAUACCCCUGUAUC